Molecule: long non-coding RNA, 4416 nt
Organism: Marmota monax (woodchuck)
Lineage: Eukaryota; Metazoa; Chordata; Mammalia; Rodentia; Sciuridae
Exons: 4
Source: RefSeq, a predicted model, not a curated record
GCUGCCAGUCUGACUCAGGAUAAAUCUGCAAGAAGCACAAGACCUUCCCCCGAUGUAGUAUCUGUUGGACAAGGCAAUCACAGGACCCUCCCACAGUGAAAAAUAAGGAGAAAUAAACUUCACACUUCGAUGGAGACAAGAAUAUCUCUGAAAAGAACAGGUGUUAAGACAUUCAAAAUGGAAACACUGGAACAUAAGUUAACAAAAACAUAUUCCUAGGAAUCAGGACCUUGUGGUGAGCAUAAUAGGAACAUUGAUAUUGAAGCUGAGCUUGAAAAGUAGAGCAGUGUGGAUUUACUGGCCUUCAUAAGCAGGGUCUGCAAAAGAAAUGGUCUUUCUUAACCGGAGGUGAUAUGUUGACACAAUAUUCAGUUUGCAAAUGCAGAAGGGAAAAGAGAGGAAGGAAGAAGAAAUGUUUGUCUUCACUCUACUAAAAAGACUUCCCAGAAGUCACAAACAAUUUUUGCACUUAAUAUCUCAUCAAUCAAUACUAAGACACAUGACCACAACUAACUACAAGGAAACAGUAAAUGCCAUACCUAGAUAGGUAUAUAUAUGCAGAAAAAAACUGAGGCUCUAUUAAUCUGAGGAAAAUUAUUUUAUGGAGAUCCAGUAAUCAGUACCACAAUCAGUGUAAAAUCAGUUGGCUCAGACAAGCAGGGCACUAUAAACCAUAGAAAUUUUAUGUAACAACUUAUAAGUGUUGCAACGAUGUAUACUUUUCCAUUUAUCAUUUUAAACCUUGAUUUAUCACAUACCAUCCAAUAGUAAACACACAUUGAAUAUACUGUGAGGGGAAAAAAAAACGGCUGUUUAUCUGUUGCCAGGGAAUUAUUUUCUUUUGGUCAAAACAUACCAAAAAGACACUCAGUGACAGAAAGUUGAUUGUAUUCAUGAAAUCUUUUCUAUUUUCUCAACACUGGAAGAGAAGAAUACAUAUUAGCUCACAAGUCCUCUUUUAAUGAAGUCAUUUGUUCCUAUUCAGGUAGAAACUAUCAUUUCAUUUGGCACAUUCAUUUUUUAUGGAGGUAAAUAUGUAUAUACCAGAGAAGGAUAGCAUAAAAAAUAUAGAAUUUCUUUAUUGUUUAGACUAAAAAUCUUAAUUAUUAAGAGAGUAAAUCUACUCAAUUAAUAUGUUAAAUAAUACAAUAAUAUAUCAUAAACAGAUGAGUAUUUCUUUCAGGAACAUAUUACAUAGUAUAUUAACAUAUUUUUUUUCAAUAACAAAGAUGAAGAGUAUUAUUAUCUAAGUAGAUUCUUAUUAUGUAUUUCUUGUCAAACACAACUAAACUCAGCUAAGAAUACAAGGAAUUAUUUCCCAACUCAUAAAGUAUAUGUGUGAAAUUUAAGGGAAAAGAACUCUUUGAGGUAAAUAGUUUAUUCAAAGAUAAACAAGAUAAAGAUAUUUCUUAUUCAAAUAGUACUGACAUUUUAGAUAAUGCAUUAUUACUAAAUAAAAUAAGUAAGAAUAAAUAAUGUAUAUAGAAAGAUCCAAACUUUUAAGUUUUAUAGAUAAUAGUAUAGCCACUAUAAAAAUCCAAUAACUUAAUUUGGAUUAUUAUUAGAAAACAAUAAUGGAUUUUCAAAACUGAUUAGAAUGUGUAACUAAAAUAUAUAUGAUGGUCAAGUAUAGCAUUAAAUUAAAAAAUUAACAGAGUUAAUCCCAAACAAGGAGCUGAAAUGUUGUUACUGCUCUCUGUCAUCAUGGAACCAGGCCCAUUGAUGGAAUGUUCCCUGCUCCUGAGGUCAAUAGCCUUUGCAUCAUUCUAUCUCUGAACCUUACAACACUGUGUGCACCAAGAGGUAUGCCAAUCCGGAGCAGAGCUUCUGAAAUCCCCUAUCCUCUGGGUCAACUAAAGCUGCUCUAUCUCCCCCACACUCCAGUUGCUCUUGCACUCUCCCUCUGUGGCCAGACUGCAGUAAUUUUCACCCCCUCAGAGAUUAAGUCUCAGAGCAGAUAUAUUUUGAGCACAAGAAAUGAGGCAGCACCUACCCUGUGGAGAUCUCAGGCCUCUGGCACACCAGGGCAAUCACCUCACACACACGCUUUUCAGUGCUGCAGGUGAGGAGAACCCUGCCCCUAGGAGCACUCACACUGGAUAAUCAGAGCAUUUAUACUGCCUACUGUUACAAUUGAUGAGGUACCCUAGGUCCAGGGAUCCAGAGCUCUGUUCAUCCAAGUAACCUUUCUUUGGGGGCAGCGGGGGUGUUCAGCAGAUGUGGUUCUUCUCUGGAGCAUUAGAGCCUUGACUGAGCUGAGCCACCCUGCAGUUCAGAUUGAGAAGUCCCCACACCUUAUCUGUCUGGAAUUGGACUAGAUCACCACAGUUCAAGCUGCUAAAACAGAAUGUCUGGGAAGAGAGACAUCACAGUGCUGCAUCUUGACCCCAAAGUCCAAGCCAUAUGGCAUUUUAUCAUUUCUGGAUCUUUGCUGCUAUGGCAACUGUCCUCACAGAACCUCAUUUCUGCCAUGUCUCACCACCCCAAGAUCCAGAAUCACCGAUGACUGGUAGGUCCAUGCCCUCUUAAUUUUAGGGCCCAAAAGAUUGCUAUGUCCCGCUCUCCAGGGCCAGAACCUCUUCCACAGAGCCAUGUUAGUACUCUAUUCUGAUACCAGAGCCAGAAUUGGGAUGAGCCUCAAAAACGACAGUCCCAACUCCGUGGGAGAAUUACAUCCUCUCAUGCUCUGAAUAUUUAAGAGCAGUUUAAUAACAUCUUCCUUAAAAAGUUAGGUAGUAAAUAUUUUCUAUUUUAUUGGUGGUAUGGUCUCUGUUGAAACUAUCUGCUAUAGACCAUAGUCAGAGGCAAUACCUAAGUAUAGCUGUUUUCUAACAAAAUUUGAUUUAUAGACAUUGAAAUUUUAAUUGCAUACAGUUUCUCUGUAUCAUGAAAUAUUUUUCUUUCAAUAUUUUUCACUUUUUAAAGAUUAAAAAAAACAUUCGUAGUUCAUGAUCUUAUAAAAUAAGGCAGUGAUCCUGAUUUGGUCCACAGAAACUAAUUUUUGAGCCCUACUGAAGAUAACAUCACUUGAAUUUAGCCCAGAUGUUAAAAACAGAGUGAUUUCUGAAUGCAUUCUUAAGUAGAUUUCUUAGUGAAUCCCCACUAGUACUUCCAAUUUUUUAAGAAGUGUCCACUAAGAGACUUCUGCUUUUUGGCUAUUUGUGGAACAUAGAAUAAUGCCACAUACUCACUUACAAUCAGUGAGCAUUCAUGGACAACAAACUGCCACACAUUUGUUAAAUUUCAAACAUUUUGUUUUAUUCCUGCAUAUUUUAAAUGCUACAUAUAAACCAUACAUUCAUAAUUCCACAAAAAUAAAAUAAUCUUUAGGUUCCCUGGAAGUUAAAAGUUAUAAAAUAUCCCUGCUCUUGUAAUAUCUCCUUUAAAUGUAUAUCCAUCCCAUGAGAAGCUUGAGGAUUAUUUUUGUUAUCAUUGUCAUGUUGUUGUAUUUUGCUUCUUUCUUAUCACUUAGUGCAUUUCAAACAGUAAAUUCUACAGAGUCUAAUUCAUGAGAAGGAAAACUUGAGACAUGAUAACUUUUGAAAAAUUACCUAAGCUGUCUUCUAGUAUCUUCCAUCAAUGACUACAGACAUACUUGGAAAAACACACUUAAUGUUCAUUCUUUUUCUAUUAAUCAUUCUUAAAGAAAUACUGUCAAAGCAGAAUCACUGGAAGAGCAAAGUAUAUGAUGGCUUCAGUUCCUUUUGCCACUGUAUGACUUUAUGAGACCUACUUCAUCUACACUCUUGCUUCUGAUAGAGGAGGUUUUAAACUAUUCCUUUGCCCUAGUGCUUGCAGUAAAAGACAGCAAAUACACAUAGACAAACCUUUUAUCUUCUUUAUUUGCAAGAAGUAAUAUUUAUUGAGUAGUAGCUCAAAGGGUUGACUAUUUUGAAUCUGUUUUUACUUGACAUAUUAUAAUAACUAUAUAUAUUUAUGGAUUCCGUAUGAUAUUUUGAUAUAUAUGUUGCACAAAACUAAAAGCAAGGUAUUUAUGAUAUCCAUCAUUUCAUAUAUUCAUCAUUUCUUUGGGGUGAGAAGAUUCAAAAUCAUCUUUUUAAGACAAAUAUCUCCAUUUGCCAUCUGACUCUCCCCAGUUUCUGGUAUAUACUAUUGUACAUUCUGCUUCAAUGAGAUUAACAUUUUUCGAUCCCACUUGUAAGUGAAAAUGUGCAAUAUUGGUUGUUGUUAUUGUUUCGUUUUGUUUUUGUGCCUGGCUGGCUUAUGUCACAUAACAUAAUGUUCUUUGUGUUAAACAUGCUACUGCAAAUGACAGAUUUUAUUUUUUUAAGGUUGAAUAUUAUUCUAUUGUGUAUAUACACCAUGUUUUUUUUUUUUGUCCAUUAGUCUGUUGAUGAAUACUUACGUUUGAGUCCAUAUCUUGGUGAGUGUGAGCAAUGCUAUAAUAAAGAGAAG